Molecule: non-coding RNA, 1232 nt
Organism: Danio rerio (zebrafish)
Lineage: Eukaryota; Metazoa; Chordata; Actinopteri; Cypriniformes; Danionidae
Source: RefSeq, a predicted model, not a curated record
UAUAUAAAUAUAUUCAUUGUAGUUUGCUGCUUGUGUGUUUUUGUUUCUAAAGAUUCCUCCAUGUCAGUGAUCAGGACUGUCUGCCCUGUAAUCUUGCCUGCAGUUUCUCAGCCUUAUCCAGCUGUGACCGUGUAUAGGAUAAGUGGUAGUGAUUGAUGUUGAUAACAACCAAUCAGGGGCCAGUGCUGCCUAUUUUAGAGCCGGUUGGCUGUGUUAGGUGAUGUGUCACCUCCAGCCCCGCCUUUCUUGUUCCGCGUUUGUUGACAUCUGUUUCAGCCUGGUUUUUCGUUGGUUUUCCUGUUGGUUGCCAUGGAGUUAAUGACUGCCACCCAUUCAGCUCGCUUGUAGCAUAAAUGGAGAUGACUAAUUCGUAAUACAUGAGUGUACUACUCCCGGCUUGGAUUCUCCCUCUCUGUCCUGGGCGAUUUAUAAAUAAAGAUCUAGCAUCUGUAACAUUACUCCGGUUGUGUUUGAAAGAUUCUGCUAUCCUGAGAUCUCUAGGGGAAAGAACUACUCCUGUUGUUUACUACUGCUGCCUGCUUCUACUAUCUGCUGCUGCUACAUUUACUGCUGCAGUUACUACUAGCUGCUACUGCUACCCGCUACUACUAUCUGCUGCUGCUACAUUUACUGCUGCAGUUACUACUAGCUGCUACUGCUAUCCGCUAACUAUCUGCUUGCUGCUACUCUACUGUUGCAGUUACUGCUAACUGCUACGACUAACUGUUACCUGCUCUAUUUAUUGCUGUUGUUACUACGACCUGCUACUACUAUCUCCUAUUGCUACUGUUAUAUAAUUUGUGAUUUUUGUUCUGUUUGGUUGUGUGAUUCGGUGUGCAAAAGAGUGAGUUUUGUGUUCUGUGUGAAUCUUGCUUUUCUAUAGCGAAACUACAGAAGCUGUAUUUGGUUUUUCUUUUCUUGUGUUUGGUUUGUUGUUUGUUUUACUCUUGUAUAAUUUAUCCCGUAUAUUGAUUUUGAUUUUCCUUGCAGGAACUGAGGUCCCAUGGGUGCAGGAUCUUGAGGUGGUGGUGGUGUCACUGCACUUGACAUUUUUGCUGUGGACGGUUUGGGAAGUGUGGAGUGUGUGGAUCUAGUGUGGUGUGUGUGUGUGGAAGUGUGCUUUUUGAACACAACGGAGCACUGGUGAUUCCCCCCCCCCCAUGUGUGACCUCAGCCCUGUAAGUUAGUUUAUUCAAUUUAUUUCCCCGGUUAAUUUCAUUUUCAUAUUUACU